AUGUCCAUCCCUCCGGCCCUAUAUGUACGGGGCCGGCCCUGUUUUAGGGUUAGCAAACCCUUCCCCCUCCGCCGCAAUCCGCCCACUCUGCCGCUAGCCUUCCCCAACUCCAGCGACAAAUCUUGCCGCAUCUCCUCCGUUUUUUCUUCUCCUCGAUGGCCGGUGGUGCUGGCGGGCGUGGCGGCCGAGGCGGGUCGCCUCUGCGCAAGCUCGCAUGACACUACGCGGAGGCCAGCAGCUCCAGCCUGCCCGCCGUCGAGCCAUGUUGCUCGAAGCAAGUGCGUGACGGUGGGCUGCUCUCCCGGCGGGUCGAGCCCUUGGGCCGGCUUCCACGAGCUCCACGAGCAACUCUUUCCGCAUUUCCAGAGGUGCCGGGAGGCCGAUGCGAGCUCGUCGCCUCGGAGAAAGCUUUGGCGGCCGGAGAAGAAGGUGCCGCCGACCAUCUCAUCGCCACCAAGGAGGUGCACGACCUUGCCAAUGCGCUCCGCAAGACCGUCACCAAGUUCUACCUCGGCGUUGACGAGUGACCGGUGA
This 534-nucleotide ribosomal RNA is filed under the name Triticum aestivum (bread wheat). Its description in RNAcentral is "partial small subunit ribosomal RNA". The record is from RNAcentral. Lineage: Eukaryota; Viridiplantae; Streptophyta; Magnoliopsida; Poales; Poaceae.